RNAcentral lists this unclassified non-coding RNA (687 nucleotides) under Kluyveromyces marxianus. RNAcentral describes it as "sequence contains 18S rRNA gene, ITS1, 5.8S rRNA gene, ITS2, 28S rRNA gene". The stretch from base 239 to 392 matches the Rfam family "5.8S ribosomal RNA". The record is from RNAcentral. Lineage: Eukaryota; Fungi; Ascomycota; Saccharomycetes; Saccharomycetales; Saccharomycetaceae.
GAUCAUUAAAGAUUAUGAAUGAAUAGAUUACUGGGGGAAUCGUCUGAACAAGGCCUGCGCUUAAUUGCGCGGCCAGUUCUUGAUUCUCUGCUAUCAGUUUUCUAUUUCUCAUCCUAAACACAAUGGAGUUUUUUCUCUAUGAACUACUUCCCUGGAGAGCUCGUCUCUCCAGUGGACAUAAACACAAACAAUAUUUUGUAUUAUGAAAAACUAUUAUACUAUAAAAUUUAAUAUUCAAAACUUUCAACAACGGAUCUCUUGGUUCUCGCAUCGAUGAAGAACGCAGCGAAUUGCGAUAUGUAUUGUGAAUUGCAGAUUUUCGUGAAUCAUCAAAUCUUUGAACGCACAUUGCGCCCUCUGGUAUUCCAGGGGGCAUGCCUGUUUGAGCGUCAUUUCUCUCUCAAACCUUUGGGUUUGGUAGUGAGUGAUACUCGUCUCGGGUUAACUUGAAAGUGGCUAGCCGUUGCCAUCUGCGUGAGCAGGGCUGCGUGUCAAGUCUAUGGACUCGACUCUUGCACAUCUACGUCUUAGGUUUGCGCCAAUUCGUGGUAAGCUUGGGUCAUAGAGACUCAUAGGUGUUAUAAAGACUCGCUGGUGUUUGUCUCCUUGAGGCAUACGGCUUUAACCAAAACUCUCAAAGUUUGACCUCAAAUCAGGUAGGAGUACCCGCUGAACUUAAGCAUAUCA